UACGGGGGGUGCGAGCGUUGUCCGGAAUCACUGGGCGUAAAGGGCGCGUAGGUGGCCUGAUAAGGGUGUGGUGAAAGUCCGGGGCUCAACCCCGGAUCUGCCGUGCCGACUGUCAGGCUAGAGUACUGUAGGGGCAGGCGGAAUUCCGGGUGUAGCGGUGGAAUGCGUAGAGAUCCGGAGGAAGACCGGUGGCGAAGGCGGCCUGCUGGGCCAAGACUGACGCUGAGGCGCGACAGCGUGGGGAGCAAACAGG
Molecule: ribosomal RNA, 253 nt
Filed under: uncultured bacterium
Lineage: Bacteria
Description: partial 16S ribosomal RNA
Rfam family: Bacterial small subunit ribosomal RNA
Source: RNAcentral